ACAACUUUGCAAAAGCCAGGCUCUCCGGGUGCUUCCCAGCCACUGCGCUGGAAUACUCCCUUCCCUCCACAACCCACAGCUAUGGACAAAGGAGCAAGUAAAAUGAAACUGACUUACUGCUAUGGCUUGGAGCCUUUCCUUGUGCAACUCUGCUUCCGCCAUCCUGGAGAGAAGGACACGGGAGGAGAGAGAGGGAGACGGGUGGGAGAAAAAAAUAGAAGAAACAAGAAGGCAAGCAAAACCAAAACGGAGCACGCACUGCAGUCACCGGGUGGGAACUGGAGUAAUUGCAAAGAAAGCUGAGCUCCUGUAUAGCAGUCAGCCACUUUUGGAGGCACUGCAGCCUGGCUCACGGUUAAAGGACUGUAUUGACAUCAGAUAUUCAAAAGUGACAAGGCUGUGUAUGCAAACAACCUGACUGAAGACCCUGGUGUUAUACACAGAGGAGGAGACAGACAGCAAAGAAGCCCCCCACUCUCUCCCAGUCCAGUCCUACAGGGUGCUGCUGCAAGGAUGACACAGGGCUGGCACACUGGAGGGGUAUCUCUGAGCCAGAGCAGCCACUGCGCCAGAUGGAGGGCUGGACAUGGAGUUGAAGCAUGCACAGCAGGAGAUGGCAUUGUUUAAGAAAUAAAAAUCUAGAGCACAGGACUUUGUUUUAAACCUUCCCAAGACAGCAGGCUUAUGAAUAGUGCCUCCCUUGACACUCAAGAUCCACCUGGGGCAGAAAAGGAUGAUGAGAGCAAGUAAUACUCCCAGUACUACACUGCAGGACAGGGAUACAACUGUGAACAGAACAACUCUUCACUAAAAAGGGAAUUUUUGUUGAAUUUAAAUUCUGUCAGUGUAAUGAUGCCACCAAAAUAGGUCUCUGCUUUUCUUAGUUGUGCAUCUCUCUAUAGCUGUUAAUGAGUGGAGAAUCAUGUGUACCCGAGGACUUGUGCUAUCCACCCCAUCUGAAACAUUUUGUUGCAUUGAGUUUCAUUGUUCCUGACAACUUUAAUGCUGACACAGAAGAGACUCUUGCCCCUUCAGCCCCUCAAAACUGGCUUGGCUAUUCAUUCUGCCAAAAAAAAAAAAAAAGAGGAAAAAGUGUACAUUUUUUCACUUUGGAUUUAAAAACUAGAGCUUUGUUCUUGUAGGUUCUGGCAUUUCCCUCUCCUUUUUUUUCAAACAACACAGACUGCAGCAGGAAAGCUGCUUUUAGCAGUAUUUAUUUCUGUUCUUGUGCCUGCUGAUUAUUCUCCACAUAUAGUACAUAGCUGAAAUGAUAUUCCCUUAAAAAACAUAAAAAUAUUUACUGCUGAGAUUUGGGUUAGUACACUGGAUUUUGCUUCAGAAGUGAAAUAGUAAAGAAAGUAAGUUGUCUGCAGCCCAACUGCAAAAAGCUGUUAGAAAGGUGAAUAUAAACUACUGUUCCAGAACAUAACUGAGGCUAGAAUCUGAAUGUUUGUUUUUUACUACUUCUGUGAUCACUGUGUGAUUUGGGAAGGCUCUAUCCACAUUUGCUGCAGGCACGCUGGUGGCUUAUGAGGCCAAUA
Molecule: long non-coding RNA, 1541 nt
Organism: Pipra filicauda (Wire-tailed manakin)
Lineage: Eukaryota; Metazoa; Chordata; Aves; Passeriformes; Pipridae
Exons: 5
Source: RefSeq, a predicted model, not a curated record